CAUCGCGACUCGUUAGUUAUAAAGUUAGUUUUUUUUUAAUGUUACUUGUAAUUUGUUUUGAAUUAUUAAUUAUUAUACAAAAUACACUUAAGGACAAGAAUAGUUUUAACGGAUCCCGACGGAAUCCCUAGCCAGGAAUCUUGGGGAUUCCUCCCGAUAUUUUUGGAUCCUCGUAAUCCCGGGACGCCGUUAGUGUCGAACCCUGUGUUCUUUGAAAUUGCAGUCUCUUUUUAAAUGUUGUAACAAUAUGUUAUAUAUUUUUGGCUCCUACAACUGAAGGAAUAUAUAAUACUCUUUUGCAUUUUACAUUGUUAAAUAUACAUCUUAAAGUAUAUUAGAUUAGAUUUUUAGUUUUUGAAAAAGGUUUCUGAUGUGAACCUUGGUAUGUUCAUAUUCAUUGUAUCAAUGUGUUUUACCACAGUGUGCAACUAUGCAUUAUCAUUUAGUGUCAUAUAAGUGGCGUUGAGAAAUAACGGAUAGCGGUUAUGUUUACAAAACCACAGACCAUUAAAUCGAAAACAAAAGACUGAUCUAUCGUAAACUAGCAGUUAUAAAUAUUGAAACGUUCAACUGUCAGGUCUUAGAAAGGAAUGUUGCCAUUAUUAUAGAACUUGAAGGUUAUUAAAUACAAUCUGCAGAUAUGGCAUUUGCAUUAUCCGGCUAAAAUGGGUGACACGCCAUCAAGACCGUCGAGCGGGCCUGAUUAUAUAAAUACAUCCCCUUAUCCAAGACAGGGAUCAAAGCAGGAACCGUUCAUGUUCAAGAUACACUAUCCCCCGGAAAUGAGAAGAUCUGUUCAUUCAAUAAAACCUGUUUACGCAAAAAUAUCAGACGACCAGAUAGAGACUGAAAAAGCCACCGUAGAUAGAGUUCCUCCGAAAUAGAAUAAUUUAGAUUGUGACUUCGAAUUUGAUCCCAAAACUUAAUUUUGACAUUCCCGUAUACUAAGUAAAUAUGCGACUGUGACAUCGUGCACUGUACUUGUUUAUAUAUUUCAUUUUAUGAUUUUCUUAUUCGUAUCAGCGGGUGUUCCGAUAUUUCAAAAGAUACCUUGCAAGUCAGAUAUGCUUUUUAUGUUGUUGAGAUCGUGUUGCUAAAACAAACUAAGCUAAACUAUAGACAUUUAAUUGUUUAUGGAAAGUUUUAACGAUGUGCAAUGUUUGCUUUACAAAAUUGUUCUUUAUAUUGGAUAAUUCUAAGCAAGUGUAAAUCACUUGAUAAAUACAGGUAGUAACUUGAGAGUGCAAAGAAAAUGUACCAAAAGUCAUCCUGUGCUUUGUGGAUUUAUGCAAAUUAGCUGAGGGGUCGUCAACAGGGUGGCACUAUGUUUAUUCAGUAUUGCACAGCUGUCAAAUUAAACCAAUCAAGGAUGAAAGGUGGCACUGUUUUAUGAAUUUUAUUAUGAUUUUCAGUGUUUUAUAUGUUUUAAAAGAACCAUGAUUUAUUAUUAAUUGUUUUAGAUUCAUUUUGAUUUCUUACACGAUGUUAUAUACGCACUUCAGUUUUGGCUCUUGGCUAAUCCAAAGUUUCUUGUCAGUUAUUUGAAUUUGGCAAAUACAAUAAAAUUAACAGAAUUUACA
Ruditapes philippinarum (Manila clam) is the source of this 1580-nucleotide long non-coding RNA. RefSeq lists it as uncharacterized. The transcript is spliced from 2 exons. Lineage: Eukaryota; Metazoa; Mollusca; Bivalvia; Venerida; Veneridae. The record is from RefSeq and is a predicted model, not a curated record.